Molecule: ribosomal RNA, 484 nt
Filed under: uncultured bacterium
Lineage: Bacteria
Description: partial 16S ribosomal RNA
Rfam family: Bacterial small subunit ribosomal RNA
Source: RNAcentral
GACGAACGCUGGCGGCGUGCUUAACACAUGCAAGUCGAACGAUGAAGCCGGAGCUUGCUCUGGUGAAUUAGUGGCGAACGGGUGAGUAACACGUGAGUAACCUGCCCUUGACUCUGGGAUAACUGCGGGAAACUGUAGCUAAUACCGGAUACGACCCUCGGAGGCAUCUCCUGGGGGUGGAAAGAAUUUCGGUCAAGGAUGGACUCGCGGCCUAUCAGCUAGUUGGUGAGGUAAAGGAUCACCAAGGCGACGCCGGGUAGCUGGACUGAGAGGGUGAUCUGCCACACUGGCACUGCGACACGCCCCAGACACCGACGGGAUGCAGGAGUGGGCGAUGUUGCACAAUGGGCGAGAGCCUGAUGCAGCAGCGCCGCGUGAGGGAUGGCGGCCUUCGGGAUGUAACCCUCUUUUAGUAGCGAAGAAGCGAAAGUGACGGUACCUGCAGGAAAAGCACCGGCUCACUACGUGCCAGCAGCCGCAGUAA